CGGGUGAGUAACACGUAAAUAACCUGCCCUCAAAUUUGGGAUACCAUUGCUAACGCGAUGUUAAUACCGGAUGUGGAUAGAGAGACUCCUGUCUUUCUGUUUAAAGGUCCUUCACGGGACUGUUUGAGGAUGGAUUUGCGCACCAUUAGUUAGUUGGUAGGGUAACGGCCUACCAAGACGAUGAUGGUUAGCCGACCUGAGAGGGUGAUCGGCCACAUUGGGACUGAGACACGGCCCAGACUCC
This 244-nucleotide ribosomal RNA is filed under the name uncultured bacterium. RNAcentral's name for it is "partial 16S ribosomal RNA". It matches the Rfam family "Bacterial small subunit ribosomal RNA", at positions 103 to 339 of the family's 1533-position model. The record is from RNAcentral.